UGUUCUGUGUAUAACAGAAAAAAAGGUACAACACUCCAAAAUGGUGAAAUAUUGUCAAAACAGGGAAGAUUAAAGCCAACAAAAGUUGCCUUUACCUAUCUUUCUCUUUCUGUCUCUGUGUCUCUCCCUGUUUCUCUAUUAUAUACAUACACAAUAUGAUAUAUAAUUAUGUGAAAUGCUAUUCUUUCUUUCUCUUUUUCUGUUUCUCUUUGCAAAUUUCUGUCACUUAUCCUAGUUAUUUAUUUGUCAUGUUUCAGUGACACAAUAGAACAUUAUUAUGUGUAAGAAAUACAGCUAUUGGGCUGGAGAGAUGGCUCAGCCGUUAAAGGCAAGGCUCAUAACCAAAAAUAUAUGAAAUAGAACUGUUAUAUAUUGCAUCGUGUCAAUGGGCCUGGUGAUUUUGAUAUCCCUUGUGAUGGUCUGGAACCGGUGAUAAGGAUACAAGAACAGGAAUGGGUCGUGUGGGAAACAGCAAUAUUGUUAGUUAUCUUGGAUGCCAAAGUAAUGCAAACCAUGUCUUCUCUGUAAAUUCAAACUUUGAAAGUUUAUGGUCAAUGCAACUUUCAGUCAGUAUAGAUAAGAUUCAUUUAGAAAGAUGCCAUGUGUUUAAAUCUAUCUGCAUAGUGACUGUGUUACCAAAAUAUGGGCGUAAAAGAAGAUACCAAGGCAGGUUUUCAUUUAAAAGAUAUAGAUUGUUAUUGUUUCCUAAUAAAAGGAAACUUAUAAAAUGAUGCAGACUGAAAAAUAUACUGAGUACAUCUUUUUUUGCAAGAUGUGUAAAGAUGAUGUGAUGGGACUCUAAUACUUUAUAUGAGGUACUUGCUCUCCUAAAGGAAUUACAAUGUAAAUAUCUUUUCCUUUUUAUUGAAUAUUUUAUGUAUUUAAGUUUAAAUGUUAUCCCCUUUCCUGGUUUCCCUUCUGGAUCCCCUCUCUCCCGUCCUCCCUCUUCCUGCUUCUAUGAGGAUGCUUCCCCUCCCACCCUCACCACCCUGCCAUUCGCCUACACUGGGGAAAUCUAGCCUUCACAGGACCAACAGCUUCUCACAGGGUCCCUAAUGGAGGUUUUAGAGAAAGGACUGAAGGAGCUGAAAGGGUUAAUACCUUUUCAAAGACAGUUUUAAUGAGAUCAUUUUGGUCAUCCAUCCUUCAUGGAUAUCUGUAUUUUUAUAGUAGGAACAGAAAAAGAAAAAAUACUUACUUCUAAGUACAAAGCAAUGUAUUCCACACACUUGGCGUUUAACCAAGGUUUCCAGAUUUCCAUUUGUCUUUUCUUAAAUUCAAGUGUACAGCUGAAAGCUAAAGGUCACUUUAUUUACCAAAAGCAAAAUGUCAACAAACAACCAUUCCCUCUUCUGCCUCCUCAAAUCAGUAUGCAUAAACCGCCUUGCAAUACUCUAAACCCUUCUCCACGGAGAUAUUAAACGAAGGCAUUAAUCCAUACAAAAUAUGUUAAUUCCUGUCUACUCAGCCCAGAGGAAGAGAAAGAUAAUGUGUCUGGAAUCAAAACGUUGUGUCUAAAUAAUCCUUUCAUAAGUCUUACUGAGCAUGCGUCCCUGGGCAUAAGGAUAGCGAUUCUGGAAGAUCUGACUUGGAAAAUACAACUCCUGGGUUGGCUGUUGAGAUAAUGAAUGCCUUUGUAAAUAAAUAAAAUCACCGCUUCUCAUUUUUCACUGACCAUACAUGUGGUGAAAAAUUUACUCUAAGAAUUAUUUCUGUUAAAUACAAUGGGAUUCUUGUAAUAACUGGACCUUAUUGCCCUCUACAAGUUAAAAUUCUAGGACUGGUGAGAUAGCUCAGUGAGUUAAAGUGUAUGCUCCGAAGCUGGCACUGACAUUAUAAAGGAAACCUGCAUCGUGCCAUCCCCAAAUGAAUUCAUACAUGAAAUACUUAUUUUUAAAAAGAUAAAAUCUAUGAGCUGCAAUGACUAGGUGAAAUUGUUAGUGAAGCCAUACUCUGUGGUUAUGAGGGGACUACCUGCAGGAAGCUCUCUAGGUCUUUGCUAAUGCGAGUGCACUGAGAAUAUCAUGUUCAAGCAGGUGAACAGUUAAAAGAUUAAUGUUUGUACUAGAAUCUGUGUGUGAUGUGGACAUUGAAGAGUUGUAGUUGUUUGAAUAAGAUGCCCCAAGAUAUUCAUAUAAUUCAAUUUUUGCUCACCAGGGAGUGGCAAGUGAUUUAAAGGACUACAAAGAAUAUGAGAUAUGGCCUUAUUGGAGUAGAUGUUGCCUUAUUCCAGACCUGUGUCAGUGGAAAUGAACUUUGCGGUUACAAAAGCCCAUGCCAGGUCUGUACUCCCCUCUUCCCUUUCCUUUUUCCUCUCCUCCCUACCCCUCUCGUCUCCCUUCCCAGUUCCCUUUCCCUCAUCUACCCCCUCUCACUCCAGAGAAAGACACAGCACUCAAAAUCUGCUACAGGGCCUAUCUGACAGCAUGCUCUCAGCCAUGAUAAUGAACGACAUUUCUGAAACUACAAGCAAGCUUCUAAUUAAAUGAUUUCUUUCACAGGAGUUGCCAAGGUCAUGGUGUCUUUUUACAGCAACAGAAUAGUGACUAAGACAGGACUCAACAGGAAAGAAUGUCAUAUGUGAUCAGUGUUUGAAAACCACACCAGAACACACAGGAUGUUUUCUCUGGUCUGGAAUCAAGAAGGAAAUCAUGCAGAGUGAGAGGUUGGUUGCUGGAGUGAAGUUUGCAGGUGUUGGUAGAAUUUGAGUUACAAUUCUUAGAUACAUGUGUGACAAGUAAGGGUACCUGUGUUACUGCCAUCUCUCUGGCUUUUAUGGAAGGUUGUAAAUAAACUUGUUUCUCGUUGUGACUCCCAGGUAAUAAUCUUUAAAACCUUAUUUUAAAAAUAAGAGUGCUUGAAAAAAAUGGGGCUCUUGGGGAAAAUAAGAUUGGGAACAGAUCACUCCAAAUGUAAUGAAAAGAGAAUUCUAAUGAGACAAUUAUAAUCUAAAGAAUAGUGGUGAAUUAAAGAAGAUGAAUUAAAUCCAAUAAAAAGAAACAAACAAAAUAACCCAAUCAUUAAAAUGUCAAGUUUGGCUUUAAAGGUAAAAGGAAAACAGUUAAGAAUAUAGAUUUUUAAAAAAGUAAGAUGAUUUUAUUUUUUAAAAGACCAGAAUAGCUGAAUUAAGGAACAAGGUCAAAAUGCAUUCAGAUCAGUACAGUGAUUUGCCAAAAAGAGCAGGUGGUCCAUUUGAGCCAUGAGAGUGGAAUACACAAGCCUGUGCCCCCCCCCCAUUUAUUUGCACCGUUCAACUAAUACAACAAACAUAACAAACAUACAAAACAAAAACAAUAUGAAACAAAGAAAUGAAGAAAAACCAACCAACUUUUGGAAAAGGAGCGUUUCAGCUGUGACCUCUUCAGUCAUUUGAACACAGUUCCGUUGUCAUCAAGCACAGGGGAACUUGCUCACAUUCCCCAUACCCUCCAUACCCUCCGAGCCACUGAGAUGGUUUCUGAGAAGGUUGUGGUGGCAGAUUCUGGAAAGAGACUCUCUGAGCUACAUUACUUGGCUUCCCACACUUGCUUGCCCACUGUUUGCUCACAUUAAAUACUUCUUAACUAAGUUUCACAUGCAAUUCCUAAAUUCCCCCCACCC
This 3600-nucleotide long non-coding RNA is filed under the name Mus musculus (house mouse). Its description in RNAcentral is "long non-coding RNA chr5:55503528-55507128". The record is from RNAcentral. Lineage: Eukaryota; Metazoa; Chordata; Mammalia; Rodentia; Muridae.